GAAACUUGCGGUUUUAUACAUCAUCAGUGGAUAUAUGCAAAUUAUUACAACCAUUUGUGUAAUUAUGUCCCUCCCCUCCCCCAUUCAAAUCAAUGUUGUUUACCCGAUCACCGAAGCAAGAUGCUAACUGAAACCCAGCAUUGAAAGGGGGACGGGACGGGAGGAUGGAAGUUUGUCAAAAUAAUUGGUAGUGGGGGCGUCUUUCCAACACAUUUUAAAAUGAAUGCUGAUAUGAUGCACACUUGGAUCAACUUUAUGUUGACAUUUGACAUUUUAAAAUAGGUAUCAUAUAUCCGUCGAUAAUUGAAAUACAAAGCCAAGAUAAACUGACGGAUCCGUGACCCGAAUGCGAGAGUUCAAACUUCAAACCCCACUCAAGCCAACUUUAAUAAAGCCUCAUACAGACGGGCAAUUUUUUCCCGAC
Paramuricea clavata is the source of this 424-nucleotide non-coding RNA. The record is from the annotation of a GenBank genome assembly. NCBI's taxonomy places the organism in Eukaryota, Metazoa, Cnidaria, Anthozoa, Malacalcyonacea, Plexauridae.